CUACGGGUGGCUGCAGUUAGGGAUUUUUUGCAAUGCGCGAAAGCGUGACAAAGCGAGCCAGAGUGUUUCUCGUAUAGAGAAACUUUUGUCAGCUGUAAAAAGGCUGAUGAAUAAGGAGUGGGUAAGACUGGUGCCAGCCGCCGCGGUAAUACCAGCAGUCCAAGUCGCAACCACAAUUAUUGGGUCUAAAACAUCCGUAGCUUGUUUCAUAAGUCUUCUGUGAAAUUCUGUUUCUCAAGGACAGAGCGAGCAGAAGAUACUGUGUUACUAGAGACUGGGGGAUGUGAGGAGUACGGCCAAGGUAGUAGUAAGAUACGUUAAUCUUGGUUGGACUAACAAGAGCGAGGGCACCUCGCAACUACAGUUCUGACAGUGAGGGAUGAAGGCUAGGGGCGCAAAACGGAUUAGAUACCCUCGUAGUC
RNAcentral lists this ribosomal RNA (422 nucleotides) under uncultured archaeon. RNAcentral describes it as "partial 16S ribosomal RNA". It matches the Rfam family "Archaeal small subunit ribosomal RNA", at positions 323 to 746 of the family's 1478-position model. The record is from RNAcentral.